This 495-nucleotide ribosomal RNA is filed under the name uncultured bacterium. RNAcentral describes it as "partial 16S ribosomal RNA". It matches the Rfam family "Bacterial small subunit ribosomal RNA", at positions 28 to 507 of the family's 1533-position model. The record is from RNAcentral.
GAUGAACGCUGGCGGCGUGCCUAAUACAUGCAAGUAGAACGCUGAGGGAGGAGCUUGCUCUUCUGGAUGAGUUGCGAACGGGUGAGUAACGCGUAGGUAACCUGCCUGGUAGCGGGGGAUAACUAUUGGAAACGAUAGCUAAUACCGCAUGACAACAGUUAUUGCAUGAUAACUGUUUAAAAGGGGCAACUGCUCCACUACCAGAUGGACCUGCGUUGUAUUAGCUAGUUGGUGAGGUAACGGCUCACCAAGGCGACGAUACAUAGCCGACCUGAGAGGGGGAUCGGCCACACUGGGACUGGGACACGGCCCAGACUCCUACGGGAGGCAGCAGUAGGGAAUCUUCGGCAAUGGACGGAAGUCUGACCGAGCAACGCCGCGUGAGUGAAGAAGGUUUUCGGAUCGUAAAGCUCUGUUGUAAGAGAAGAACGAGUGUGAGAGUGGAAAGUUCACACUGUGACGGUAUCUUACCAGAAAGGGACGGCUAACUACGUG